ACGUAGGGGGCAAGCGUUGUCCGGAAUUACUGGGCGUAAAGAGCACGUAGGCGGUUGAUUGCGUUAGAUGUGAAAUUUUGCGGCUUAACUGGGGAAGUGCGUUUAGAACGGGUAGACUUGAGUCUGGGAGAGGUAAGCGGAAUUCCUAGUGUAGCGGUGAAAUGCGUAGAGAUUAGGAAGAACACCGGUGGCGAAGGCGGCUUACUGGACGAGUACUGACGCUCAGGUGCGAAAGCGUGGGGAGCAAACAG
This 251-nucleotide ribosomal RNA is filed under the name uncultured prokaryote. Its description in RNAcentral is "partial 16S rRNA". It matches the Rfam family "Bacterial small subunit ribosomal RNA", at positions 525 to 775 of the family's 1533-position model. The record is from RNAcentral.